Molecule: ribosomal RNA, 253 nt
Filed under: uncultured bacterium
Lineage: Bacteria
Description: partial 16S ribosomal RNA
Rfam family: Bacterial small subunit ribosomal RNA
Source: RNAcentral
UACAGAGACUGCAAGCGUUAUUCGGAUUCACUGGGCGUACAGGGUGCGCAGGCGGCCGAGUGUGUGAGGCGUGAAAGCCCGGGGCUUAACCCCGGAAUUGCACCUCAAACUACACGGCUAGAGCAUUGGAGAGGGUAGCAGAAUUCAUGGUGUAGCAGUGAAAUGCGUAGAUAUCAUGAGGAAUACCAGAGGCGAAGGCGGCUACCUGGACAAUUGCUGACGCUCAGGCACGAAAGCGUGGGGAGCAAAAGGG